UACGUAGGGUGCGAGCGUUAAUCGGAAUUACUGGGCGUAAAGCGCACGUAGGCGGCUUGGUAUGUCGGGUGUGAAAUCCCCGGGCUCAACCUGGGAACUGCAUCCGAAACUGCCUUGCUAGAGUAUGGGGAGAGGGAAGUGGAAUUUCCGGUGUAGCGGUGAAAUGCGUAGAUAUCGGGAAGGAACAUCAGUGGCGAAGGCG
RNAcentral lists this ribosomal RNA (202 nucleotides) under uncultured bacterium. RNAcentral describes it as "partial 16S ribosomal RNA". It matches the Rfam family "Bacterial small subunit ribosomal RNA", at positions 524 to 723 of the family's 1533-position model. The record is from RNAcentral.